This 220-nucleotide unclassified non-coding RNA is filed under the name Hevea brasiliensis (rubber tree). Lineage: Eukaryota; Viridiplantae; Streptophyta; Magnoliopsida; Malpighiales; Euphorbiaceae. The record is from RNAcentral.
GCCAGUUCAGCCUGCAGCAAAUUCACAAGAUGAAACACAAGCUACAAGAAUCAAUCUACCAAGACACAAAAUGAAGGAUCCACAUUUUGCCCAUUAAAAUAUAUGGCAGUAAAACUUGGACAAAUAAAUUUCAUGCUGGAUAACAGCAAUGCUAGUUGUGUUAAUGCAUCUAAAUUUUAGUUUCAAAAAAUCUACUGUGUCGCAAAACUUGACCAGAACA